Molecule: ribosomal RNA, 255 nt
Filed under: uncultured archaeon
Lineage: Archaea
Description: partial 16S ribosomal RNA
Rfam family: Archaeal small subunit ribosomal RNA
Source: RNAcentral
GUCUACAUUAGAUACCCGGGUAGUCCCAGCCGUAAACUAUGCUCGCUAGGUNUUGGGAUGGCCUCGAGCUGCCCAGUGCCGAAGGGAAGCUGUUAAGUCCACCGCCUGGGAAGUACGGUCGCAAGACUGAAACUUAAAGGAAUGCGGGAGCACCACAACGCGUGGAGCCUGCGGUUUAAUUGGAUUCAACGCCGGACAUCUCACCAGGGCGACAGCAGGAUGAUGGCCAGAUUGACGAUCUUGCUUGACAAGCUG